GUAAAAUACGCAAAAAGGGAAACUUAAGAACGGGCAUCAUAGAAACCCAGCACAUAGAAGACAUAUACGGCUUUUAAAACUUGCUUUCAAUGAGAAUAACAGAUAACUCAAUUGAAAUGUGACUUUGGCCGUGUAGCCCCAAAAAGUUACAUAUUGCAGCGUUAAAGGUAGGGGGAUUCUACUUUGCCAAUCAGACGUAGUUACUAGGCGGGCCUGACAUUUCAUUGGACCAUUCAAGGUUCUCCUACCUGAUUCCCUUCGGGUAGGUUACAACUUCAAUGUAACCAGAGUGUUGAACGGUACUGGAGGUAGUUCUUCAGUUAAUUUGAUGUCUGCCAUAGAGGAGUUUUGGCCAGGAAUGUCCAGACUUUCACUUUUCGACUUUCAAAGUCUUAAGAUUGUUGUAAUUUCAAAGGCCUGUUAGCAUAAUGUAGCUAACAGUAUAUGUUUUUUUGCUAGCUAUAACUGUAUUCUUGUCUCCGCUAGCUGAUUCAUUGAGCGGUAUGCAGCUAGCUAGCGUUGAAUAGUCCCUAGGUGGUCUCACACGUUUCUUACUUUGCCGUGGACAACAAUUUACUGUUAAAUGUGAACUGACUGGAAGAACUAGCUAACUAAUAAAGAACAACGAUAUGGUUUAAAGGGUUAUUGUAUCCUACGAUAAGUCGUCGGUGAGAAGGAAAAGCGGAAUUCGAACUGCCUCGAUGUGUCGUUUGGAUGUGGAGUCUGACGUGAAAGGACCUGAACAACAUAGACAUGUCCUCCCUUCGUCAAGCACCAUUCUCACUUAACGCAGCAAUUUAAGGCGAGUUGCAGUAGAGAGAAUUUCGACAGUCAGCAAGUGACAAAAAGAAAGCUUUAGCGAAGGCUGACAAAAUUCAGAGAAAAAGUUUACACCAACCCAGAAUUGCUGGAAGAGUACAGAAGGAAGGAAAGAGAGAGGUUGGGGGUUGGAGAGAUAUCAAAAAUGAAAGCAAAAUUGUAAAAUCAAUAUCCGACAAAGCAACAUGAAAAGAAGAAAAAACUGUGGCGGGACAACUCCACAGGAAUUACAGAAAAAAGAAACUGCUAAAAGCUGUAAUGACAUAACACCAUCAAGCGAGGAAAAUGAUACACUUCAACAUGUUCAAGAAGCAAAUUAAGAAGAUGCAGCCUCCCCAAGAGAACAGCCAUUCUCACCUCAGCAGGUAAAUGUCCUGCCAUCAACUCCUAAAAGAAGAGAGACAUCUCUACAGACACCAGGACCAAGGAAGACAUCUACCCCAAAGGAAUCACCCAAAAAGAGGAACAGAAGAAAGAAAACACUAUCAAAAUUUUGGGCAAAGUUGCACUACACAGAAGAGAAGCUUCUGGAGAGGACCAAAGAGAUGGUCAAUCCAAAGAAAAGACUGAAAAGACUUGAGAUGAUGGCCAAGAGGAAGCAGGUAAUUGUCAACAUGGAAGGCAAAGAGGUGUCAUCAGAGAACAUUACAGCCGGAGAAGACUAAUGCACACACUUGUUAGCCGCUUCCUUCAUCGAGAUGAAGUCAACACUAAUAAAUGGGUAAUCUGGAGAACUUUGGAAAAAGGGACAGUUAUUCCAUAAGAGAGCCUUAAUAACGGACGCUAUGGCAUAUCUUCAUAGAAGAUUUCUGUCUGAGAAUCCAAGGCACAACCUUUCCAAGGCUCAAUUCUUUAAACGAGUCACAGACAGAGAAACAUGUGCUUGCAAAAGGCAUGGAAACUUUGGCUUGAAGAUAAAGAAGCUGCACCAGCUUGGGGUCAUAGAAACAUCAUCCCCAGGCCAGUGUCUGUAGUGACGAUGACAUGUCCUGCUCUGUUUUUGGAUGUUUUCAGCCUAUGUAUGUUAUGUACUUUUGAAGCACUGCAAAAUGAAUUUGAUUGAACUUGAAUCCAUGAUUGUGCCAAUCUCUCAUUUAUUUUCUACAUUAAAUGUCAUGUUUUUAAUCAUACCUCAGUCUUAGUAUACUUAUUAUCAUUACAGAAAUUGUCGACCUCAUUUCUGAAACCUAGGUAUCAUUACCGCAACAGGUGUUCAUUUAAUGUUAUUUUAAUGAAUGGAAAAAUUGUAAAUUGCUUUUAAAUGCAUGUGCAGAA
RNAcentral lists this long non-coding RNA (2094 nucleotides) under Salmo salar (Atlantic salmon). Its description in RNAcentral is "lncRNA (ENSSSAG00000095987.1)". The record is from RNAcentral. Lineage: Eukaryota; Metazoa; Chordata; Actinopteri; Salmoniformes; Salmonidae.